This 98-nucleotide long non-coding RNA is filed under the name Pan troglodytes (chimpanzee). RNAcentral describes it as "lincRNA". The record is from RNAcentral. Lineage: Eukaryota; Metazoa; Chordata; Mammalia; Primates; Hominidae.
AUAUUUACUCACCUUUUUCUCUCUCACUAUGUCUGCCGUGGUCUCCAUGAGAGUGCGCCACAUAAGAUUCCCCCAUUAAAAGUCAUGAAUUGAGUGGC